RNAcentral lists this ribosomal RNA (504 nucleotides) under uncultured bacterium. RNAcentral describes it as "partial 16S ribosomal RNA". It matches the Rfam family "Bacterial small subunit ribosomal RNA", at positions 30 to 523 of the family's 1533-position model. The record is from RNAcentral.
AUUGAACGCUGGCGGCAGGCCUAACACAUGCAAGUCGAACGGUAGCACAGAGAGCUUGCUCUCGGGUGACGAGUGGCGGACGGGUGAGUAAUGUCUGGGAAACUGCCCAAUGGAGGGGGAUAACUACUGGAAACGGUAGCUAAUACCGCAUAACGUCUUCGGACCAAAGUGGGGGACCUUCGGGCCUCACACCAUCGGAUGUGCCCAGAUGGGAUUAGCUGGUAGGUGGGGUAAUGGCUCACCUAGGCGACGAUCCCUAGCUGGGCUGAGAGGAUGACCGGCCACACUGGAACUGAGCCACGGUCCAGACUCCUACGGGAGGCAGCAGUGGGGAAUAUUGCACAAUGGGCGCAAGCCUGAUGCAGCCAUGCUGCGUGUAUGAAGAAGGCCUUCGGGUUGUAAAGUACUUUCAGCGGGGAGGAAGGCGAUGGAGUUAAUAGCUUCAUCGAUUGACGUUACCCGCAGAAGAAGCACCGGCUAACUCCGUGCCAGCCGCCGCCGUAA